UCUCAGCGCCGACGACCGUAAAGGAAUCCAGCGAGAGAAGCAACAACGCCGGCGUUUUCCUCGAGCAUGGUGGUCGUAGCAGCAGCAGCAGCCACCACCAUCACCACCACCACCACCGCCACAGCUGCCAUGGGGUGGUAAACAAGGAAAAGACGAGGACGACACGAUGACGAAGAUGCAACUACGAACGACGACGACGACGACGACGACGACAACACGAAGGAGAACGGUGACGAACGAAGCUACCCGAACGAACGGGAGAUAAACUUACCAUCGUUCAAUAAGAACAACGACCAAUCCGGUGACGACUUUAUCGAGAAAUGUUACUAUCGAAUAAACCAAU
Molecule: long non-coding RNA, 343 nt
Organism: Polistes dominula (European paper wasp)
Lineage: Eukaryota; Metazoa; Arthropoda; Insecta; Hymenoptera; Vespidae
Gene: retn
Source: RefSeq, a predicted model, not a curated record